UACGUAGGGGGCGAGCGUUGUCCGGAAUUAUUGGGCGUAAAGGGCGUGUAGGCGGCCUCACAAGUCAGGGGUGAAACCCCGGGGCUCAACCCCGGGCAUGCCUCUGAAACUGCGGGGCUUGAGUGCUCUAGAGGGCAGUGGAAUUCCCGGUGUAGCAGUGAAAUGCGUAGAGAUCGGGAGGAACACCAGUGGCGAAGGCGGCUGCCUGGGGAGUAACUGACGCUGAGGCGCGAAAGCUAGGGGAGCAAAC
This 250-nucleotide ribosomal RNA is filed under the name uncultured bacterium. RNAcentral's name for it is "partial 16S ribosomal RNA". It matches the Rfam family "Bacterial small subunit ribosomal RNA", at positions 524 to 773 of the family's 1533-position model. The record is from RNAcentral.